This 409-nucleotide unclassified non-coding RNA is filed under the name uncultured Funneliformis. Its description in RNAcentral is "sequence contains 28S rRNA gene". The record is from RNAcentral. Lineage: Eukaryota; Fungi; Glomeromycota; Glomeromycetes; Glomerales; Glomeraceae.
AGUUAAACAGUACGUGAAAUUGUUGAAAGGGAAACGAUUGAAGUCAGUCGUACCAACGGGAAAUCAAUUCAUCGAGUGUUAAAUUUGGGUUUCGAAGAGUUGUUAAAACCUUUGGGUUCAGAUAUUUUCACUUUUUGAACGUAUUUUCUCGUACGGUAGGUUAACAUCGAUUUUGAACAUUAUAAAAUGAUCGGAGGAAUGUAGCUUCGAUCUCGUAUUGAAGUGUUAUAGCCUUUGGUAGAUGUAAUGAUCGAGAUCGAGGAUUGCAACGAAUACCCUUUUGGGCUAUCCGUCUGAUCUCUGAUACGUUGCCUCGGUAACGAAAGCGUGCUUACGGUAUUGAGGUAUUACGGUCAAAAGGUUAGAACGUGAUUACAUUCGUUAAGGAUGUUGACGUAAUGGCUUUAAA